AAGGAAGCAUUGGUUUUUGCAGAUUCCUUAUCCACAACUAAAAGACAGUAAAAGAUCCCAUCUCUCACCAUCUCGUAUAUGCCAUAAGACACAUUCUUUGUUAUGUCCGGAAAGAGGUGGAGCUCAUGAAGGAGGAGUCUUACAUUUGACUUAUUAAUUUCGUAUUUUUGUAAUUCAAAGUAAGAUAUUUUGAGACAGAGUCUAAUGCAUUCACCCUGAAAAUAGUGUAUAUGAGAUUAAGGACGCAAUUCAUUAAUUUCGGGUUUCUAGAGUUUCUUGAUUUGGAUUUAGCUCUUUAUUUCAACAUAUGCCUGAUUAUACAGUCUAGAUAGUUGCUUCUCUGUAUAUUUUAUUCUUGAAGCUGUGUUGAAGAACUUGGAUUCUUUGUAAUUGGAAGCUUUCCAUCAUAUGUGCACUUCAGUACGUGGUUUCCUCACUAUCUGAGGUCCUACUGGAACAUUUCGAGUCUUUGGUCGAAUGUCCUGCAUGAACAUACAAAAGCAUUUAUCAUGUUGUCAGUCUUAUUUUUCAGUUGUUAACUAAUUGUUGAAAGAGCAAACUCAAGCGUUUUACUUAAGUAGAGUACAGAUGGACACAAUUCAUACCUGAUCGAAGAUGGCCGUAGGUAUUGCUAGUGUAGCAACGGCAUUCGGAGAAUCAACUAUCCCAGAUAUUCUUCCUUCACAUGGACAACAUGAAAGCAAGAGAUCCUACAAAUGCUGCUGCAGAGACCAGUACCUGUUCUUUUGAGUAACCAAAUUUAAAGAGAUAGUCUAUGGCGUUGAGAACUGCCCGUUUGUAAGCAACUGUUGCAUCUAGGUACUGUUGUCUUCCGGUCUCAUCGACACUGAUACCCUUAAAGACCAGCCACUCUGAGAAUCUCGGUUCCACUGGCCCUAUCUCAAAGAUGGGGUUUACAUGGAGAGGGGUAGGUCUUAUUGGUGUAAGUUCCCUCCGUUUUCUCUUCCUGGUAUCGUCCUGGCAGCCUCGUUUGCAAUCCUUUCCCAUUCCGGUGUUCCUUCUUCAAUCUACAUGAGGCAGGAUUAUGCCUUGUCAGUCAAAGGAGUUCCAUCGAUGGUGCGGUGCCAAUGACUCCCGGGUGUGUCAAACCCGGAAACCGUACCCUAC
Molecule: non-coding RNA, 1128 nt
Organism: Camelina sativa (false flax)
Lineage: Eukaryota; Viridiplantae; Streptophyta; Magnoliopsida; Brassicales; Brassicaceae
Source: RefSeq, a predicted model, not a curated record